RNAcentral lists this long non-coding RNA (1380 nucleotides) under Pogona vitticeps (central bearded dragon). RNAcentral describes it as "lncRNA (ENSPVIG00000015189.1)". The record is from RNAcentral. Lineage: Eukaryota; Metazoa; Chordata; Lepidosauria; Squamata; Agamidae.
UAUCUAGUUAUGUCCCCAAAACACAGCUAAUCGGCAUUGAGACAAACUUUCCCACCGAACAGUAUCCUGCAAUGGUACGAGAUUAGCAAACAACAGGAAAGUGCUUGCCGAUAACUUCAAAAUGCCAACAUGUCCAAUCAGAGGCUUUGGGAUGAUUUAUUAGCCAAGUACUUUUUGUUAUGAUUAAAACAACUUUCUCUGACAUAACACACAACUUCCCCUCACUUCCCAGCAUCUCCAUAUCUCACUGGAAUACUUUGUUAGCUGAAGAAAGCAUAAUUAGCAAGUUUUGUAGAUGGUCCAACAGUUAUUUAGGAUAGUGAGUACCUUAAAGCAUGAAUAGUUAAAUAAACAGAAAGCAAAUUCAUUAUAAGAAUCACAAUUGGAUAGCAUGUUGUAAGAUAUAGUACUUCUAAAAAGUAAGUUGUUUAUUUCCACCAUGUUUGUGACUAAAAAAAAAUGCAGUGCAGAAACAAAAUCUGGAACCACUCUACAACAGAGGAGAACAAAAUCCUGUUUGUCUCCAACAGCAUUCUUGACUUUAACUAAAGUCAAGCUUUAAAUAAUGUGAUUUGGAAGCUGCUGUCAAAUAUCUUGAAUGAAACCACUAAGGUUCAGAAUUGGCACCUGUGCCAACACAGUUGCCCUUGAGCCAGCUGAUCUAUUUCAUUAUUCAACAACAACAACAACAAAUCUCAGCACACUCUUUAAGGCCAUGAGUUUGCAACCCUCAGUUCCAAAGCAAAUUGCUUUAAUACCCCACAGUUAAGGUUUUCAUAAGGAAAAAACCAGCCCAUUUUCUUCAGCAGAUAGUUGAAACUUUCUGCAUUUAUAUUUUCUUUUCUUUUUUGGGUGGUGGUAAGACAUAAUCUUUGCCUGAGUUGGUCUGUCUUCCUUAAGGUCUCGGUGAAUUCUUCUCAUUCUCUGCAGCUGUUGGCUUUGUCACUUUAAGUAGUCAGGCAGAGAGUCAGCGGCACAGCGGAAUCCCAAGUUCGAAGCCGAGCUGUCAGGAGUGUUUUGGCUCCGAGCUGCACAUCGAUACCUAUAGCAAUAGGACUGAGAAGGAAAACAGCAGGUUACCACAGGUGCCAAGUUAAGUGUCUCCAUUUAUUAGGAGAAUGUGUUGCUGCAACUUAGCAGUGACAAGAUGCUGUAUUUGCAACAGAGAUCAAUUAGCUGCCCAAGGGAGAUAUUCUCUAAUUUUGCUACACUAAACUAUAAAAGCCCAUGAAAUGCUGGUGCCUCAGCUGAAAAAUGCAAACAACAUCCCAUGGGGGGUGGGAUAUUUCCUUUCUUGUCCCUGAGCAGCUCACUAGGCCAUCUUUAUAUUAUAUAGUUGUGCCCCGCUGGACGAUUACCCCACUCUGCGAUGAAUCCGCU